CAAAUACUCCCUCCGUCCCGAGUUACUUGUCUUAGAUUUGUCUGUAUCUAGACACGUUUUAGUGUUAGAUACAUCCGUAUCUAGACAAAUCUAAGACAAGUAAUUUGAGACGGAGGUAAUAUGUA
Molecule: non-coding RNA, 125 nt
Organism: Triticum aestivum (bread wheat)
Lineage: Eukaryota; Viridiplantae; Streptophyta; Magnoliopsida; Poales; Poaceae
Source: Rfam